RNAcentral lists this transfer RNA (63 nucleotides) under Pristaulacus compressus. RNAcentral describes it as "tRNA-Gly". Lineage: Eukaryota; Metazoa; Arthropoda; Insecta; Hymenoptera; Aulacidae. The record is from RNAcentral.
AUUUAUAUAGUAUAUUCAUUACAUUUAAACUCCAUUUAAAAAAAUUACUAAUUAAUAUAAAUA